AUGAAGGAGUGGGACGUUAGAAGCCCAGCCAUGAUUGGAUACUGCUAUGCAGUGAGAAAGCUUGAAAAGAAAUUUGAAGGGUUAGAGCUCCAUCAUAUACCCCGACUGAAGAAUCAAGCGGCUGAUGAUUUGGCUAAGAUAGGUUCCAACAGGGAAGCCAUCCCUAGUGAUGUAUUCUUGGAACAUAUCCAUACUCCAUCAGUUAAAGAAGAUCCUUUUACCGAAGAAGCUCCGUAG
This 237-nucleotide ribosomal RNA is filed under the name Triticum aestivum (bread wheat). Its description in RNAcentral is "partial small subunit ribosomal RNA". Lineage: Eukaryota; Viridiplantae; Streptophyta; Magnoliopsida; Poales; Poaceae. The record is from RNAcentral.